This 1053-nucleotide ribosomal RNA is filed under the name uncultured bacterium. RNAcentral describes it as "bacterial SSU rRNA". It matches the Rfam family "Bacterial small subunit ribosomal RNA", at positions 336 to 1393 of the family's 1533-position model. The record is from RNAcentral.
CUCCUACGGGAGGCAGCAGUAGGGAAUUUUCGUCAAUGGGGGGAACCUGAACGAGCAAUGCCGCGUGAGUUAAGACGGUCUUCGGAUUGUAAAGCUCUGUUGUGAGAGAAAAAGGAUAUAUAUAGGAAAUGAUAUGUAUUUGAUGGUAUCUCACCAGAAAGUCACGGCUAACUACGUGCCAGCAGCCGCGGUAAUACGUAGGUGGCGAGCGUUAUCCGGAAUGAUUGGGCGUAAAGGGUACGUAGGCGGCAUGAUAAGUCUGGAGUGAAAGGCUACAGCUCAACUGUAGUAUGCUCUGGAAACUGUCAAGCUAGAGUGCAGAAGAGGGCAAUGGAACUCCAUGUGUAGCGGUAAAAUGCGUAGAUAUAUGGAAGAACACCGGUGGCGAAGGCGGUUGCCUGGUCUGAAACUGACGCUGAAGUACGAAAGCGUGGGGAGCAAAUAGGAUUAGAUACCCUAGUAGUCCACGCCGUAAACGAUGAGAACUAGGUGUUGGGGGAAUAACUCAGUGCCGCAGUUAACGCAAUAAGUUCUCCGCCUGGGGAGUAUGCACGCAAGUGUGAAACUCAAAGGAAUUGACGGGGGCCCGCACAAGCGGUGGAGUAUGUGGUUUAAUUCGAAGCAACGCGAAGAACCUUACCAGGCCUUGACAUCCCUUGCAGAGAUAUAGAGAUAUAUCCGAGGUUAUCAAGGAGACAGGUGGUGCAUGGUUGUCGUCAGCUCGUGUCGUGAGAUGUUGGGUUAAGUCCCGCAACGAGCGCAACCCUUGUGAUAUGUUACCAAUAUUAAGUUAGGGACUCAUAUCAGACUGCCGGUGAUAAACCGGAGGAAGGUGGGGAUGACGUCAAAUCAUCAUGCCCCUUAUGGCCUGGGCUACACACGUACUACAAUGGCGGAUACAAAGGGCAGCGACAGUGUGAACUGAAGCGAAUCCCAUAAAGUCCGUCCCAGUUCGGAUUGGAGUCUGCAACCCGACUCCAUGAAGUUGGAAUCGCUAGUAAUCGCGAAUCAGCAUGUCGCGGUGAAUACGUUCUCGGGCCUUGUACACACCGC